GAAGAGUCAGCAUCCAAGGCCUUUAUAUGCAGGGAUCACCAGGCACGGCGUCUCCAGUAUCCACAGGCUGCUGCAUUUCUUGUCUAGCAUCAGCGUGAGCAGCGGCUCCGUCUUAAGAGGACAGAGAGAGAGAGACAUAGACAUGGCUUUGAAGUCUCUUGCUGUUCUUCUGGUUAUCCUCCUCUCUGUGCCGCCCCUCGACUCGACCCCCGCACCCGCUGCGCUGGAUGAGAAGAAGUUCUUCUUCUUCUAUUUCUUCCCCCCAGGUGAGCCUUGUGCAGCUAACAACUAAUCAACUCUUCCGUGCGCAAUUUCUUAUCCCGCUCGCCUCUUUCCAGUGCUCCGCUACGUGGCCGAAUUCCAGGGCAACGUAUCAACUGGGCGAUGCUGUUCUCGUUGCUGCGCGAUCAGCGCCAAUAGUACAUGCCUUGGUUGCUGUCCAUUUUCGAGGAUAAUACUGGCCGGCCCCCCUCUCUGCUGCUCCCAAUGCCUCUUUGGGUACUUUGGUUACUGUCGCAGCUGCUUCGGCUAGUUGGCCGGAGGCAAGCCAUGAACACGGCUCAUGCCUUACACCCAACAUGCCUGAUAGCGAGAAAGUGCAAGAUGUGGCGUAGCCUGUCUGUGAAAUAAGAGGAGACGUCCUCACUACGAAGGACGGCCGCCGUGUGUAACCUGUGGUUUUUAGACUGCUGUUCUUUCUUUCUUGGUCGUCUGUGGAAACAAGUCGAGACUACCACGGUGCAUGUUCUGUGAAGAUUCUGAAAGUUGGUCUUCGAGUCUGUCCCAUAUUUCGCGCCUUUCUCGAUAUUGCAGUGUUUUAUGUGUACUCACUGAGCACAUAGAUACUUUUACCUAUCUGUAUGAGGUCUGGAACUCUAUAUUUCCGUGGAGAUGAACAACGUACUGCUCACCAUACUGGACCAGUGGG
RNAcentral lists this long non-coding RNA (928 nucleotides) under Spirodela polyrhiza (greater duckweed). RNAcentral describes it as "long non-coding RNA (SPOL_LNC001604)". The record is from RNAcentral. Lineage: Eukaryota; Viridiplantae; Streptophyta; Magnoliopsida; Alismatales; Araceae.